AACGAACGCUGGCGGCAUGCCUAACACAUGCAAGUCGAACGAGACCUUCGGGUCUAGUGGCGCACGGGUGCGUAACGCGUGGGAAUCUACCCUUGGGUUCGGAAUAACAGUUAGAAAUGACUGCUAAUACCGGAUGAUGACGUAAGUCCAAAGAUUUAUCGCCCAAGGAUGAGCCCGCGUAAGAUUAGCUUGUUGGUGGGGUAAUGGCCUACCAAGGCGACGAUCUUUAGCUGGUCUGAGAGGAUGAUCAGCCACACUGGGACUGAGACACGGCCCAGACUCGUGCGGGAGGCAGCAGUGGGGAAUAUUGGACAAUGGGCGAAAGCCUGAUCCAGCAAUGCCGCGUGAGUGAUGAAGGCCUUAGGGUUGUAAAGCUCUUUUACCAGGGAUGAUAAUGACAGUACCUGGAGAAUAAGCUCCGGCUAACUCCGUGCCAGCCGCCGCGGUAA
RNAcentral lists this ribosomal RNA (449 nucleotides) under uncultured bacterium. Its description in RNAcentral is "partial 16S ribosomal RNA". It matches the Rfam family "Bacterial small subunit ribosomal RNA", at positions 29 to 523 of the family's 1533-position model. The record is from RNAcentral.